Molecule: ribosomal RNA, 254 nt
Filed under: uncultured bacterium
Lineage: Bacteria
Description: partial 16S ribosomal RNA
Rfam family: Bacterial small subunit ribosomal RNA
Source: RNAcentral
UACGUAGGGUGCGAGCGUUAAUCGGAAUUACUGGGCGUAAAGCGUGCGCAGGCGGUUUUGUAAGUCAGAUGUGAAAUCCCCGGGCUCAACCUGGGAACUGCGUUUGAAACUACAAGGCUAGAGUGUAGCAGAGGGGGGGUAGAAUUCCACGUGUAGCAGUGAAAUGCGUAGAGAUGUGGAGGAAUACCAAUGGCGAAGGCAGCCUCCUGGGCCAACACUGACGCUCAUGCACGAAAGCGUGGGGAGCAAACAGG